Molecule: ribosomal RNA, 513 nt
Filed under: uncultured bacterium
Lineage: Bacteria
Description: partial 16S ribosomal RNA
Rfam family: Bacterial small subunit ribosomal RNA
Source: RNAcentral
GACGAACGCUGGCGGCGUGCUUAACACAUGCAAGUCGAACGAAAAGAGGGAAAGAGCUUGCUCUUUCCGGAAUUGAGUGGCAAACGGGUGAGUAACACGUAAACAACCUGCCUUCAGGAUGGGGACAACAGACGGAAACGACUGCUAAUACCGAAUAAGUUCCAAGAGCCGCAUGGCCCAUGGAAGAAAAGGUGGCCUCUACCUGUAAGCUAUCGCCUGAAGAGGGGUUUGCGGCUGAUUAGCUGGUUGGAGGGGUAACGGCCCACCAAGGCGACGAUCAGUAGCCGGUCUGAGAGGAUGGACGGCCACACUUGAACUGAGACACGGUCCAGACUCCUACGGGAGGCAGCAGUGGGGAAUCUUCCGCAAUGGGCGGAAGCCUGACGGAGCAACGCCGCGUGAGUGAUGACGGCCUUCGGGUUGUAAAACUCUGUGAUCCGGGACGAAAAGGCAGAGUGCGAAGAACAAACUGCAUUGACGGUACCGGAAAAGCAAGCCACGGCUAACUACGUG